Molecule: ribosomal RNA, 502 nt
Filed under: uncultured bacterium
Lineage: Bacteria
Description: partial 16S ribosomal RNA
Rfam family: Bacterial small subunit ribosomal RNA
Source: RNAcentral
AUUGAACGCUAGCGGCAUGCCUUACACAUGCAAGUCGAACGGCAGCGGGGGGGCUUGCUCCCGCCGGCGAGUGGCGAACGGGUGAGUAAUACAUCGGAACGUACCCAGUAGCGGGGGAUAGCCCGGCGUAAGCCGGAUUAAUACCGCAUACGCCCUACGGGGGAAAGGGGGGGAUCGCAAGACCUCUCACUAUUGGAGCGGCCGAUGGCUGAUUAGCUAGUUGGUGGGGUAAAGGCCUACCAAGGCGACGAUCAGUAGCUGGUCUGAGAGGACGACCAGCCACACUGGGACUGAGACACGGCCCAGACUCCUACGGGAGGCAGCAGUGGGGAAUUUUGGACAAUGGGCGAAAGCCUGAUCCAGCAAUGCCGCGUGUGCGAAGAAGGCCUUCGGGUUGUAAAGCACUUUUGUCAGGGAAGAAAUCGUUUGGGUUAAUACCCCGAGCAGUUGACGGUACCUGAAGAAUAAGCACCGGCUAACUACGUGCCAGCCGCCGCGGUAA